RNAcentral lists this ribosomal RNA (508 nucleotides) under uncultured bacterium. Its description in RNAcentral is "partial 16S ribosomal RNA". It matches the Rfam family "Bacterial small subunit ribosomal RNA", at positions 28 to 507 of the family's 1533-position model. The record is from RNAcentral.
GACGAACGCUGGCGGCGUGCCUAAUACAUGCAAGUCGAACGCUUCUUUCCUCCCGAGUGCUUGCACUCAAUUGGAAAGAGGAGUGGCGGACGGGUGAGUAACACGUGGGUAACCUACCCAUCAGAGGGGGAUAACACUUGGAAACAGGUGCUAAUACCGCAUAACAGUUUAUGCCGCAUGGCAUAAGAGUGAAAGGCGCUUUCGGGUGUCGCUGAUGGAUGGACCCGCGGUGCAUUAGCUAGUUGGUGAGGUAACGGCUCACCAAGGCCACGAUGCAUAGGCGGCCCGGGAGGGGGAUCCGCCACACUGGGGCUGAGACACGGCCCAGACUCCUACGGGAGGCCGCAGUAGGGAAUCUUCGGGAAUGGACGAAAGUCUGACCGAGCAACGCCGCGUGAGUGAAGAAGGUUUUCGGAUCGUAAAACUCUGUUGUUAGAGAAGAACAAGGACGUUAGUAACUGAACGUCCCCCGACGGUAUCUAACCAGAAAGCCACGGCUAACUACGUG